Molecule: long non-coding RNA, 680 nt
Filed under: Homo sapiens (human)
Lineage: Eukaryota; Metazoa; Chordata; Mammalia; Primates; Hominidae
Description: HSALNT0158531
Source: RNAcentral
CCACCCUGUGCUUAGCACUUCUCCUGGCUGCUGCGAUGUGAAGGAUGUGUUUGCUUCCUCUCGCACCUUGAUUAUAAGUUUCCUGAGGCCUUCCCCAGCCAUGCUGAAUUCCUUUUCAGAUUAAUGCCAAGAAAAUAUAUGCAGAAGAGACACCCAUGUCAUUGAACAAGAGGUUCUAAUAUUACAUAACAGGGUAGUGGUAUGUAGCUGUAGUGGUAUGUGCUCUCUCUCAAUGCUGAGCUGCAGCUCCCAGUCAGCCACUGGAUCAUGAGGGUAAAAUACGGAUACUUGACAUCUUCUUAAAGAACAUCAUGCCUGCUAAGCCAUCCAGUUUGGAUGCCCCAGUGCCUUCCACCAGCCAUUCUCAAGCCUCAUUAGAAGAGAGAGAUUGAUGACCCUGUAGCUGCAGCAUCCCAUCAUCCUGCAUUUUAGUUCAAUGCUUCAAACGUUCUUCAGGCCCAGUGUGCUUUCAGCUGUGUAUGUUAAUGGUCUGCGGCUUCACUCCUGAAGCCAGCGAGAGCGAGACCACGAACCCACCGGAAGGAAGAAACUCCGGACACAUCUGAACAUCUGAAGGAACAAACUCCGGACACACCAUCUUUAAGAACUGUAACACUCACCACGAGGGUCCACAGCUUCAUUCCUGAAGUUAGCAAGACCAAGAACCCACUGGAAGGAAC